GCCGGAAUAGCUCAUUUGGUAAACCAGNGGACUGAAAACCCCCGNGUCAC
RNAcentral lists this transfer RNA (50 nucleotides) under Cynodontium jenneri. RNAcentral's name for it is "partial tRNA-Phe". Lineage: Eukaryota; Viridiplantae; Streptophyta; Bryopsida; Dicranales; Rhabdoweisiaceae. The record is from RNAcentral.